GGAGAAGUACCCAAGUGGCUGUAAGGGGCUCCCCUGCUAAGGGAGUAGGCUCUGCGAAGGGGCGCGAGGGUUCAAAUCCCUCCUUCUCCG
Molecule: transfer RNA, 90 nt
Filed under: Clostridium sp. CAG:138
Lineage: Bacteria; Bacillati; Bacillota; Clostridia; Eubacteriales; Clostridiaceae
Rfam family: tRNA
About the family: Transfer RNA (tRNA) molecules are approximately 80 nucleotides in length. Their secondary structure includes four short double-helical elements and three loops (D, anti-codon, and T loops). Further hydrogen bonds mediate the characteristic L-shaped molecular structure. tRNAs have two regions of fundamental functional importance: the anti-codon, which is responsible for specific mRNA codon recognition, and the 3' end, to which the tRNAs corresponding amino acid is attached (by aminoacyl-tRNA synthetases). tRNAs cope with the degeneracy of the genetic code in two manners: having more than one tRNA (with a specific anti-codon) for a particular amino acid; and 'wobble' base-pairing, i.e. permitting non-standard base-pairing at the 3rd anti-codon position.
Source: Rfam by way of RNAcentral